RNAcentral lists this ribosomal RNA (254 nucleotides) under uncultured bacterium. RNAcentral's name for it is "partial 16S ribosomal RNA". It matches the Rfam family "Bacterial small subunit ribosomal RNA", at positions 524 to 777 of the family's 1533-position model. The record is from RNAcentral.
UACGAAGGGGGCUAGCGUUGUUCGGAAUUACUGGGCGUAAAGCGCACGUAGGCGGAUAUUUAAGUCAGGGGUGAAAUCCCAGAGCUCAACUCUGGAACUGCCUUUGAUACUGGGUAUCUUGAGUAUGGAAGAGGUAAGUGGAAUUGCGAGUGUAGAGGUGAAAUUCGUAGAUAUUCGCAGGAACACCAGUGGCGAAGGCGGCUUACUGGUCCAUAACUGACGCUGAGGUGCGAAAGCGUGGGGAGCAAACAGGG